CUAUGGUGCAACUAAACUAAAUACCUCAGUUGCAUCUCCUUGAGUCCCUGAGAAACUGAGCUUGGCAUCUUCAUGGUGCCACGAACUAAUUUUAACGGUCAUAGAAAUUACUGGACCUAUGGUGCAACUAAAUUAAAUACCUCAGUUGCAUCUCCUUGAGUCCCUGCCUGAAUUCAGAGCAGAACUGCAAUUACGACUGGUGUAUGUAAGACAUAACAAAAUCUGUUAUGUCUGAACAGAGCCUCCAUACCUGAGAAGCAUCUCUUUGAAUCCCAAAGAAGCUGCAGUUGCCACCUUCAUGAGUCACACAGAUCACGAACCCAAAGUGCAGCUGAACGAAGUACCUGAGACGCUUUGCCUCCAGCCUGGAAGAUCGACUCGUCAUCCUCAGCGGCGGAGGCAGAAGAGGAUGUGGAAGAAGCCUGCUUUGAUAUCCNUCCUCCAUCAUCUUCAAGACUUCAGCAUCUUUCCGGGAGAGUUCAGACUUUCCUGGGCUGUCCAGCGAGCCUGCACGNGCAUCCUCAGAAGUGCGUACGCUUCUGACCUCACUGCCAUCGCUGGACGUGGGGCAGCAACCCAAGAGAAUCUGUAUGUCCAUAAUCUGCUUUUGAAGAUCACCAAUAGUAAGAGAUUGGCCUUCUUUCCUAUUUGUUAUUGAUUUGUGGUNCUUGCCAGAGGUAGGCAUGGUCUCUCAGCUGACAGGUGGGCUCAAUUUCCAUGUUGAGCCGUGGAGCAGGAGAAAAGCGCCAGGUGGUUUGUUGGUGAGCUUUGGCACUUAAGACAGGCCAGGGCUGGCACUGGUAAGGCUACCUGUUGGCCUUCAACAGUGUUGGCACACCAUGUUUGCUGUUCUGCAGAUCUUCAGCAUUCAGGGAAAGGGUCCGGACCCUUUGCACACCUCUAGUGCUGGCACUGGAGAGGUGCAGUGUUAGUCUUUUUGUGUAGNUUUUGUGGUCAGCCCACUGUGGCCUGGCAUUUAAAAGAGGCAGCACAGUUUUCCUUGCUGAGUUCUGGCACUUGACUGAUGUGGCUGCGGUUCCUUUCCUGAAGUCUGGCCUUGAAAGCAAGGGACAAAGAUGAGAGUCCUUGGGGAUUGCUGCUGUGUUUGUAUAUUGUGAUGGGGAAAUUUCUAUUGUUUGCCAUUUCUAUGGAAAUGUCAUUUACUGAAUUUUAUACUAAUACUGCAUGUUAAUAUUGCAUAUUUCUGUCUGUUUUAUUUUGCUUGACCAUAUUGUGUAACAAAUGUAUAGAAGUAAACAUGUGAUGAUGGUGGCUUUCUAUGGCCAUUUGGGUGCUUUGAGAUGGAUUUGCAUGCCCCCAAGAAGGUCAGGGACCUUCACAAGGUUGAACAGCAAAAGGGGGCUUUCCCCCGCUUCUUUUCCUGCUGUUCUAAGUGGCAAACAUCCCUCAAAUCACUGUUGGCCAUAGAGACAACGAAUGAUCAGAUUUCCUCUGUUCUGUGCAGCUUCUUGAAUAUCAAGGGACCACUGCCUUGCUGUUUGCGGUCUUGAGGGUGGGCAUUCCUUUUCAGGUAUCCACCGUGCGUUUGACCCAGAUGGCCAACGAGAGCUGCUGUUUUCCAUCUGCUGUUGUAAACUACCUCAAGCUCAUUGUGUAUAUGAAUAAACAUAACUCCGAAAACUGUUAUGGUGUCUGC
Salvator merianae (Argentine black and white tegu) is the source of this 1657-nucleotide long non-coding RNA. The record is from Ensembl. NCBI's taxonomy places the organism in Eukaryota, Metazoa, Chordata, Lepidosauria, Squamata, Teiidae.